GAUGAACGCUGGCGGCGUGCUUAACACAUGCAAGUCGAACGAUGAAGCCCAGCUUGCUGGGUGGAUUAGUGGCGAACGGGUGAGUAACACGUGAGUAACCUGCCCUUGACUCUGGGAUAAGCCCGGGAAACUGGGUCUAAUACCGGAUAGGAGCGCCUGUCGCAUGACGGGUGUUGGAAAGAUUUUUCGGUCAUGGAUGGACUCGCGGCCUAUCAGCUUGUUGGUGUGGUAAUGGCUCACCAAGGCGACGACGGGUAGCCGGCCUGGGAGGGUGACCGGGCACACUGGGACUGAGACACGGCCCAGACUCCUACGGGAGGCAGCAGUGGGGAAUAUUGCACAAUGGGCGGAAGCCUGAUGCAGCGACGCCGGGUGAGGGAUGACGGCCUUCGGGUUGUAAACCUCUUUCAGUAGGGAAGAAGCGAAAGUGACGGUACCUGCAGAAGAAGCACCGGCUAACUACGUG
RNAcentral lists this ribosomal RNA (466 nucleotides) under uncultured bacterium. Its description in RNAcentral is "partial 16S ribosomal RNA". It matches the Rfam family "Bacterial small subunit ribosomal RNA", at positions 28 to 507 of the family's 1533-position model. The record is from RNAcentral.